Molecule: signal recognition particle RNA, 100 nt
Filed under: Deltaproteobacteria bacterium
Lineage: Bacteria; Pseudomonadati; Myxococcota; Myxococcia
Description: signal recognition particle sRNA small type
Rfam family: Bacterial small signal recognition particle RNA
About the family: The signal recognition particle (SRP) is a universally conserved ribonucleoprotein involved in the co-translational targeting of proteins to membranes. Archaeal SRP consists of a 7S RNA and homologues of the eukaryotic SRP19 and SRP54 proteins. In most bacteria, the SRP consists of a 4.5S RNA and the Ffh protein (a homologue of the eukaryotic SRP54 protein).
Source: RNAcentral
AACCAGGUCCUGUGCAACAGAGACAGUGUGAACUCCGUCAGGUCCGGAAGGAAGCAGCGGUAGCAUUGCUCGCUGUGUGCCGCAGGGUAGCCUGGUUAUC